This is a long non-coding RNA of Capra hircus (goat), 897 nucleotides long. RefSeq lists it as uncharacterized. Lineage: Eukaryota; Metazoa; Chordata; Mammalia; Artiodactyla; Bovidae. The record is from RefSeq and is a predicted model, not a curated record. The transcript is spliced from 5 exons.
GAGCUCGCUGCCUGCCUGCCUGCUCGCUCGAGCCGGGGACGAGACGCCCCCCACCUCUCCAGCUCGGCCUCUCCAUCCAAGUUCCCGGUCCCCGGCCGCCCGGAUCCGGGGAUGGCAACCGCCGCCCGCCCGCCUCUGCGCCCUUUUUUCCAGCCGCCGCGCAGAAAUUUAGGUCAAGGACGUCGGGAUCAAACCCAAACCCUGGCGCUCCUCGGGCGCUCCCGGAGACCCCCAGGACGAGGGGCGGGGGGCUUUCAGGAUGGUGCGGACACCCUCCGCACAAACCCCAGCCACAAGUUUUAUUUUCCUUUCGCGCUGGAAGUUCUGUCUGGCUCUCGAUCCACACCGGCACGUCUUGCGCGGCUCCCCGCCCUUCCCCGGCAGAGGACACAAUGAGAUACACUCAACACCAAAACUGCAGCAGGUCCGCUGUGGGUCUUGGAAAAGCGGACUAUGAAAAAUCCCAACAUCAACCAAAGCCUUGAUCUCCCUGUCUCCUCAAUUGGGGUAAUUCUGUCCUUUACAGACUUGAUAGGGAACUUUCGUAUCCGUGUCCGUAAGUCAACCGGGCUGCAGUUUUCCCUUCUCAUAUUGCCUUUCUCUGGUGAUACUGGCCUCAUGAAAUGAUCUGGUAAGAUUCCUAUAAACAGCAUACAGUUGGACCUUGCUCUUUUAUUUAUUGGGUUGACUGAUUUUUCUCUUGGUCUUUGGCUUCCUGCAUUCUCACCACGCUGUGUUCAGGUGUGAAUCUCUUUUAUUUAUAUGGUUCAAGGUUCACCGCAUAUCCGAAAAUCCCAGGAUGCACGUUUCUGAUCAGGUCUGUAGCACUGUCCGCCGUCAUCUAUGUAAAUCCCGUCUCUCUUGCACUGCCUCUGUUCUGUCCUGCUGCUGCUGCUG